AAAAGUGUAGAAAUAUUGAAGUUUCCCAUGGGAUGGAAAUUUUGAUUUUCACCUAGCUGCAACCCCACGACGGCAGGGCAGCCUGAUGGGCGCUACUUUAGGCUUUUCCUUAGGCACUGGGAGAGCCAUGUAGGAAAGUGCAGAGCAUACUCACACUGAGCCUGGCUAUGGCUAUUGCCAUAGAAGAGAAAAGCCCCAGCUACGAUUUUCUCUAGAUGGGGCCACGGACUGCAAGCAUCCCCAUCCCUGCCUGGUGGUUGAAACUGGAGAGCACGGAGGGCUUCCAGGGACAGGUACUUGGUCUUGCCAUGUGAUUUGGACUCGCUGCCCGAUUCUUGCUUUAAUAAGCAAAUGCCAUGACUCAGGAGCAGACGAAAUGAAGGUCACUGAGAACAGUGGAUCUGCACAGGGCAUUCAUUCUGCACAGAUAUGCUGGUCAGCUCUGCAGCAUCCCCAAGUCCUGAAUUCUCUGAAGCCCGUAGGAAUGCUGCAGUUUCAAAGCACUGUGAGCAAGACUGAAAGAAGGCAUCUCACAGGAAAAUACCCUCCGUGCCUAUGCAGGCCACUGCUAUUUUGUUACUUCAAAAUAGCAUUUUCAAAAUGUGCUUGAAUCUCAGAAUUAACUGCUUUAUCAUCCCGCAGUUUGGAUUAAAAAAAAACAGAUGCUGAUACACAUUUAGAUCAUUUAAGAAGUAAGUUUCCUUAGCAGAAAGUAGGUUCAGCGUCUAACCUUGUUCUGGCAAAACCAAGACGGCACUUUUCUUCUGUUGCUUAUUUUUAUCCUGGUAUUCCAUAAUGCAAUGGAUGAGACAACUGAUGGGAUUUGAUUUUGAUCUCCUCUCCAGAGGAGAGGGUUUAGUGGUUUAGGCAGCAACAUUCAAAUAUGCAGCCUAUAUGGAAUAAGGUUUCACAUCCAAACCAGUCAGGCUUAGUCUUUAACUUAUCUAAAGUAGACAAAUGAGGUUGCUUUGCCAGGAUCUCCCAGGUAAAACCUCAGCCAAAGCCCUGACUGCUCCGUGGCAAUUAAAACUCCCUGGCAUUUUCUCACUCUGCUCACACAUGCUAAACAUCCCUCCGCAGCUCAUUGCACUGGGGCCUGGGGGUGCCCUAUGUGGUGGCUACUUCCCCAUGUCGAACUUGUGCUCAGGUGGCUGGUGGCUGCAGGACAGCAGGGAAAUGCUGCAGCAGAAAGGUGUGAAGUGAAUGUAAGAUAUCCCCUGAGAGAAAACAAAGAUGCUUUACCAGGAGCCAGUGCUCGCUACGUCAGAUAGGUAAUGUGCAGCACUCAUUUAACCUGUCUGUGCAGUGGUCAUCAAAGCUUUUAAUAGCUGGUACCUUCAAAAGCAAUAAAUUGUUGCUUUGAUUUGCUUUAUUCCAAACUGUAUUUAUGGACAGCUACGGGGCAUGCUCAACUUUCAUUUUUCUUUUUCCAUGAUGAAAUUUAGUUCAAGAAAAAUUGUUAAGAAAAAUGGUUGCUUCUAUUUGCCAAGAAGUCACGUUUCCCCUUUUAAAGAACAUACUUUUACAUAACCAUUUGCACGGUGAAACAGAAGGUCUGGGAGUUGUUUUCCAUCCUAUUCGUCCUAGCAAGAACAAAUAGCACGCACAUUUUUCUCAAAGCUGCAUCUUACUGACAAAGAAGACUGAAAGCAGGACUUAGACUCUCUCUUUGGAGCAGGGCCUCCCUCUCCAACCAUCAGUGUACCACAUGAAGCAUGUUUUGGUCACGACUCUUACAACAUUAAAGUUGCAAAACUGCACAGGAAAACCUGGCUAGUUAGAUUGUUCCUUGGUGCACUGCUAGGAUUUUGACAGCAGAAAAUAAGAACAAGUUUCUGUAUUAUUAUUUCUUGGUCCAAUUACAGGAAAAGUACUGCAGGAGCAGAAGAAAACUGUUUUGGCAAACUACAGAUGACUUGGUUGAAAAAGUUCAGCCAAAAGAAAAACACGGUUUUACUGUGUGGAAGCCAUACUGUGUGAUUUUGAGGAAUGAAGACAGGGGUAAAUAAGCUGCCCAGCUAUGGUGAAUUUCCCCCUCUUGGGAAGGUGUCUGUAGCUGCCAUGUAUCUGUGGCCAUUGACCCCUCUACAAUUUGGCAAAGCUGAUAGAAGCUGUCCUGCCAACAGCACAUUACUGAAUUCCUUCUGCUAUUUUACAUACACUCUUAUACACAUGGACACUACGGCAUUUUCCUGUAAUUAAGAAGGGGGCUGCAAAUCAAACCAACCAGCAUUUUCUCCUCCCCCCCAACGUACUCUGCCCCCUUCAGCAUCUUCUGCAACCUGGUGUUGUUCCUCCUGAAGGAGCUUGGCUUCCUGCAGCACACAGUGCAGACUGUGCCUUGUGAGUGGGAGAAGGGAGGUCUCGUGGAAACAGCUGCUGCCUGGAAGCACCUUGCAUGGAAAGAAAAAAGGGGUUGGACUGAUUGGAAAGGAAACCAGGCGGUAAAAUAGCCAAUCUGCUUGCCCCCACCUCAGUCAGAGGGCUGACUGAGUGAAAGGUAGCUCUGCCUGGGUGGCUUCAGUGUGUGCUCACAGAUUGGCCUUGUGUACAGUUACAUCCCAGGUCUGGUUCUGGAGAUGAGCUGAAGCCUCCUCAGGUGAAAGCAAAGACUACCUGCACUAUUCAGGGCUGUCCAGAAGAGAAAUGAAGCUCUGCUGUUGCCAAGAUGCUGACAGUGUGACAAGUGACAGACUUGCUCACUCAUCACUAUACACAGCUCCCCUAAAGUGGGAGCUGAGACCAGUGCUGCAGCACAAGUGGUGCAGCUGAGGCACUCAGCUUACAGUAGGGACUUUAGCGUGGAAGUCAUCCCUGUCCUUGGCCAGUCUUGAGGCAGAAAUGCAUUCCCAGCACCCAGCACAGCGAGAGCUCCCCAAUGAGCCUCUGUGUGGGUGCCUUGGCCUCAGAGAUGUGCAGGUGUGAACGUCGGCAGCCAGCUCCUGAGAAAACACCCUCGCACUCUGUGCUGCUUGCAGACCACACAAAAAGCCUGAAAAGCUCUUCUGCUGUUUCCAACAACUUCGCAGGCACUUCCAUGCGACCUGUGACACAGCCCUGAGCCGUGUCGCUGGCACGGACAAGCCACACAAGUUCAGCAAGAAGCCAGCAAGGAAAAUCACAGGAGCUGGAGCAGCAACUUCUUGCUUGCAGGGCUGACACCGCAGCUUGGUAUGUGCUAGGGGGCAGGGGGGGGCGUCGAUGUUUUUGCUGGGCCGCAAUGAGAGUGCCAGAGCCACUGGUUGAAUUGGGCACCGUAACCAUAGAAACGGCAAGUUUCCGGGCGGGGAUGACAGGUUGAUGGGAUUACUCUUCAAAGCACUUGCUGCCUUGGGAGAGCAGGCCGGGAGGGAGGGGACCGGAGUUAAUUUAGCGCACGCAGCAGAGCGGGGGGCAGCGGCGGCAGGUCCCUGCUGGAGUGAAGCCUGCAGCAGUGACAAGUGGCUCCUGUUCACCAGGACUUGGGCUAGUCCUGAAAUCAACCUAGGAGGCACACAGCGAUGAAGAAUGGGGGGGUGCACACAAAAAAAUAAGGCCACCCAUUUCUGAGUGACGGUCAUGACCAACAGGUGCUGUGCGCCGUACUGCUGAGGCUGCACCUCGAGUAUCUCGGUCAGGUUGGGGCCCUCACUACAAGAAUGUGGAAAGAAGGGCAACAAAGCUGGUGAAGGCACUAAAAAACAAGACUUAGGAGGAGUGACUGGGGGAAUGGGGUUGUUCAGUGUGGAGAAGAGGAGGCUGAGGGCAGACUGCAUCACUGCCUACAACUACCCGAAGGGAGGCUGCAGUGCCUGGCCCUGGUGAGGAGGUGUGAGGGGAGCCAAGGGCCUCAGUGCGUGUGAGAGGAAGGGUGUGGGGUACAGCUGUGGGGCGCAGCGUCCAGGGAGGUAGCAGACCAAGUGCCAUGGCACAGUAUGGCACAGUAUGGCACGGUCUGGCAUGGCAUGGCACGGCACAAAAUGGUGGGGGUCUCUGAGAGGGAAGGCUGCUGCCUUCUGAGGCCCAUCGCCCCAGUGCUGCGGAGGCGUUGGUGAGGUGCGAGAUGAGGCUCUUUCAGACGUGCCCUUCUCGUGCACACUCUCCUUUUAAUUCCCUCGGCCUUGGGCAUGCAAAAGGCUGCUCUCCUGUCUGCCCUCCUGACCGCUGCAGGCAGAGGUGUGAGAGGUGCACGAUGGCGCUGUCUCUACACGUUAGCAAUUUCUGGCUAAUAAAACUGCCCUUUGGGGCAUGGUUAACAAUUAGACCAACUCUGAGCGCCGGGCCCUGCCCAGUAUCACAGAGGCACAAGGUAAUUGAAAGCUGUUCGUGCUGCUGUUCCUCCUCGUGCCGGACGGAAAGGUCGAAACAAACAGACAGGCAAACAUUUCUUAUCUUCCCCCUGCAGCUGACAGCCAACUGCAGUUAUUGCCUCCGAGCCCCAGCCAUGCUCUGCCUGAUGGCUUCUGCAGGUCGCCUGGAGAAGGCAGCGCCUGCAAAGAGGUCCCAGAGCAUCCCUGGGGGCCUGGCCCCAGUGCUUUGGGGAGCUAUGGGUGGGCUGAGCUGCAGGAGGCGACUGCUGGGACCUGGAGGUCAGACCCCAUGCACAUGCAGGGCGUGCUUGCUGCCAGGUAAUUUCUCCUACCACGUUUUUUCCCUGUGUUAGGAAGGGGUUACGUGCACCUGGACGGGAGAUGUCAGGUGCAGCAUCUGCAAGCCAAACAGGCAGAAACGUCACGGCGCCUGCCAGGGACCUGCUUCUGGUCCUGCAAAAGUGAGCGAGCGGUGCAGACAGCUGUUUUCCAGCAAAAACACACAGGCUGGAAAGGUGGAUGCACUGCAAGUGCUGACACAAGCUUAAUUACGCAGCACCGCAGAACAGACAGGCUUAUGAAAAAUGCAGUGUGGGAACAGAAUAUUUCUACCACCUCCUGUUAGCUGCUUACAGGCAGCUGCAGCACUGCUCUGGGGUUCUCAGCUGCAGCUCCUACUGCCUGUAGCCUGGUCCUUGUUCCCUGCUCCUUUCCCAGAAGGGGUGCUUGGUGAAAAUACAGGCAGCUGACUGAAAUGUGCAGCAAGUGCAUGCUGAUUGCUACUUCAGCAGCUGGGAGGCUGAAGGAUGCUGUUCCAGGGGCUCGUCGCUCUCUGCUGUGACACCGGGCACGUGCCUGUCACCCUCCUGCCCUUCGGCUGCGACACUCUGAGGGAUCAGCUUUGAAAGGGAGCCCUGCUGGAGGGGCUUCAUGUGCACGAAAACUGAAUCGUGGCGAAACCGUCUCAAACAGCACAGUCUCAUUUCACCUGUGUUUCUUAGUAAUAUUAUUAUUUUUUACUAUUUAGUGCUAUUUUUAUUUUUAAUUACUUUUAUUAUUUAUUUUUAUUAUUUAG
This is a non-coding RNA of Anas platyrhynchos (mallard), 5364 nucleotides long. Lineage: Eukaryota; Metazoa; Chordata; Aves; Anseriformes; Anatidae. The record is from RefSeq and is a predicted model, not a curated record.